UUCUUUCUCUGCUCUGUUUAUGGCCCUAUGGUAAUUCACUGAUAGUGAGCUCUCACAGUGAAUUCUACCAGUGCCAUACACAGAACAGGAGUCAUUAUCACCC
This 103-nucleotide microRNA precursor is filed under the name Xyrichtys novacula (pearly razorfish). The record is from RNAcentral. Lineage: Eukaryota; Metazoa; Chordata; Actinopteri; Labriformes; Labridae.